CGGCUGUGUGAGCGGCGGACGCUCGGCGCAGUGCUCCCAUCUGUCAACCGGGAGUGGCGAGCCAGCCGCGCGCCCCCAGAGCUGGCGCCUCGCGUCCCACUGAACUCUGGCGACGGCAGAAACCCUCGCUGCCGCUGGGAGAACGGGGCCCAACCAGGGCAUGGAAGACAGCGAUCGCUAGGGACGGCCUGUGGAGGCCCUCCGAGACACUUCGUGACACCAAGGCAGCGCGGGUCCCUUCAGAUCCCUGUGAGAAAGGCUGACCGCCGUCCCCGGGUAGAGGGGAGCCAUGGAAGGGUGAGGAGCGAGAAACGUGGUCGGAUUUGCAGUUUCCAGCACGCGGAGCAAGGGCCGAGAGGGCGGGGACGGGGCUCCCGGCAGACGCUCGGUCCGAGUCCCCGCCCACUCCCCACAGCCGCGGGACAUUGGAGACUGACUUAGCCUGCAGUGCCUCAGUUUCCUCAUCUGUUAACAGACGAUAAGAGGGGUGUUUAUAAGGAUUAAAUGAGAGGACCCGUGUGAAGCGCACGCCUGGAGGGAGCGCUCGGCCCACGGUAGGCAUUGCUGUCAGUCCGAGAGAGAAAUCGUGAUCCAUGAGCGUGUCGUUUGUGAAGACCAAAGGGAUGAAGCCUUGAAGGCCCUCUGUACGGGCCCCGGAGCACAGGGGCGCCUUAUAACACUACCCGGCCGUCCCCGUGCCCUGCGCCAGGUGGUCCAGCGCUGGGACCGCCGCCUGGCCUGGCCUCCCACCCCCUCCUCCGGGCGCCCUGGCGGGACCGCCCUCGUGACCCUGCUUCCUGUUUGCGAUGCCAACCCUGGAGGGAGGAAGUCGGUGCCCCCACCCUGGGGCCCCGAGGGCAGGAAUGUGGACGUGCUGACGUCAAAGCGUGUCCCGGUCCCGGGGAAGUCGGGAUGGGAAGGGCUUCCUGCAAACCAACUUUGAUCCCAGGCCUGAGCUGGGGUUGUAAAUCAGCCCUGAGGGAGCCCAGCCACCGAGCUUCCUCUGAUGAACGCCCUGGGGUCGAGUCAGGGUCCUACCCCCACACUGUGCCCGCGGGCGCAUCACCUCCCCCUCCUAGCCUCAGUUCCCUCGCCUGUGGGGCAGGGAUGUGUGUGCAUCUCAGCGUCCUUCCUCCGUCUGACACAUCUUGCAGGGCUGAGCCUGCCUGGCUGCGGGGGCUCCUUGGGGGAAGGUCCCCUGGCUGGUGACACGGGGUGGAGGCUCUGAGGCCGCCAGACAGAGGCACGAAGCAUUUCUGGAGGUGGCUGCAGGGAGGUUUCCCAGCAUUAGGCCUGUGACUCAAGCUGAAGCCUAGGCCCAGGCACUUCCUGACCUAGUGACUCAGUUUCCCCUGCAGAGGCAUCCCACAACGCCUGCUUCUCAGCCUGGCAGAGGCAUUGAGACCUGGCUAGUGUGUGUCUGUGGGGGUCCCUAGUGAUGCCAUUUAUCAAGUGCUUCCUGAGCACUCAGGGCUUUACGUAUGGGUUGUCACUUGGUUCCCAAUCCAGCUCGAAGAGGUAGAGACUGCGAUUAGUCCCAUUUUACAGAAGGGUAAACUGAGGCUCGGAAAGCUGAAGGAAGUUGCCCAAGAUCACAGAGCUGGGAAGUGGCAGAGCCAGAAAAGAGUGCUGCUCCGACAUCGUGGCAGGCCCUCCCUUGGAGAGGCCUCCUGACGGACAGGCAGGGCCCUUGACGGUGGCAAGGCCAUCAUUCAGAGUGCGCACCGGGAAUCUAUCCCACAGAGGGUCUCCCAGCCCCUAUGCCCACCUGCCCUGUGG
RNAcentral lists this long non-coding RNA (1779 nucleotides) under Equus asinus (donkey). RNAcentral's name for it is "lncRNA (ENSEASG00005034240.1)". The record is from RNAcentral. Lineage: Eukaryota; Metazoa; Chordata; Mammalia; Perissodactyla; Equidae.